RNAcentral lists this ribosomal RNA (372 nucleotides) under uncultured bacterium. Its description in RNAcentral is "bacterial SSU rRNA". It matches the Rfam family "Bacterial small subunit ribosomal RNA", at positions 524 to 898 of the family's 1533-position model. The record is from RNAcentral.
UACGGAGGAUGCGAGCGUUAUCCGGAUUUAUUGGGUUUAAAGGGUGCGUAGGCGGAUUAAUAAGUCAGUGGUGAAAACCUGCAGCUUAACUGUGGAACUGCCAUUGAUACUGUUAGUCUUGAGUACGGUCAAGGUAGGCGGAAUGUGUAAUGUAGCGGUGAAAUGCUUAGAUAUUACACAGAACACCGAUUGCGAAGGCAGCUUACUGGGCCAUUACUGACGCUGAUGCACGAAAGCGUGGGGAGCGAACAGGAUUAGAUACCCUGGUAGUCCACGCCGUAAACGAUGAUCACUCGCUGUUGGCGAUACACAGUCAGCGGCUAAGCAAAAGCAUUAAGUGAUCCACCUGGGGAGUACGGCCGCAAGGCUGAA